UACGUAGGGUGCAAGCGUUGCCCGGAUUUAUUGGGCGUAAAGGGCGCGUAGGCGGCUCGGCACGUCCGUUGUGAAAUCGCCCGGCUCAACUGGGCGGGGUCAGCGGAUACGGUCGAGCUUGAGCAAGCUAGGGGGCAAUGGAAUUCCCGGUGUAGUGGUGGAAUGCGUAGAUAUCGGGAGGAACACCAGUGGCGAAGGCGGCCCACUGGAUCGGUACUGACGCUGAGGUGCGAAAGCGUGGGGAGCAAACAGG
RNAcentral lists this ribosomal RNA (253 nucleotides) under uncultured bacterium. Its description in RNAcentral is "partial 16S ribosomal RNA". It matches the Rfam family "Bacterial small subunit ribosomal RNA", at positions 524 to 776 of the family's 1533-position model. The record is from RNAcentral.